GAGCUCUCCAAGCUGUCCGCUCUCGUGUUCCCCUGCAUGGUUUUUGUCUCAAUGGCCUUCACAAUUGCAGAUAAAAGGGCAGCUCUUGCCUAUAAGAUUACAGAAGUUGUGUCUGAGUUUUAGGGCUGAGACAGGCUCUGCCCGGUUGCUGGCGAUUGGUUCCUUCUGCCCCGUCAACCAAAUCCUUGACAGGAAAACCUCUAGCCAAUGAUCAGUAAUAGCCAGUUUUUUCUUGGAUGAGGUUUGAAUAAGAUACAGCCGAUUUUCCCCGGCUCCCCAAAAAAGAAGUUACAGGUAAGACGUACCUUGAAAUCUGGCUGUGGAGGCAAGGGGAUUGCAAACAUAUUUGGGGCAUUUGGGUCUGGGCUCCCAGUAGUGAAAUGUGAAAACAAAAGUCGGGUAGCUUAAAGCAGUAAAAGUAAGAAAAGGUGUAGAUGACUCUUCUCAAGUUCCAUGAGCAUUAUGACAACUGAGUACGAUGCUUUUGGCAGCAACUCUCUCUCCCACUUUGGUUUAAAUUUCCUCCACCUUUUACAGAUCCUGCCCAGCACAGUGAAAACCAAAAGCAGGGAAUUAAAUCCAAACCUGGAUAGCAAAGUAAAACGUUAGCCUUCUCUAAGGUAAAGGUAAAGGGACCCCUGACCAUUAGAUCCAGUCGUGGCCGACUCUGGGGUUGCAGCGCUCAUCUCGUUUUAUUGGCCGAGGGAGCCAGCGUACAGCUUCUGGCUCAUGUGGCCAGCAUGACUAAGCCACCUCUGGCAAACCAGAGCAGCACACGGAAACGCCGUUUACCUUCCCGUCGGAGUGGUACCUAUUUAUCUACUUGCACUUUGACAGGGACCGAGCAACAGGAGCUCACCGUGUCGUGGGGAUUUGAACCGCUGACCUUCUGAUCGGCAAGUCCUAGGCUCUGUGGUUUAACCCACAGUGCCACCCACGUCCCUUUAGCCGUCUCUCUUAAGGGAAUAUUCCUAGCGCAGUUGGUAGAGCAUGAGCCUCUGAAUCUCAGGGUUGUGGGUUCGAGUCCCACAUUGGGCAAAAAUAUUCCUGCAUUGCAGGGGGUUGGACUAGAUGACCCUUGUGGUCCCUUCUGACUCUGCCAUUCGAUGAGUCAAGCUCCUGCGACGGCGAAAUAUUUAAAAUGUGAAGUAUCUGUUUGCAUUCACUCCUCUAGCAUAUUUUAAUGUUCGCGCUCAAAGUAUCAGAAUCUAAUUCAGAAAUCUAGGUUCUCUCUCGACAGUAGCUGUCCUGCAGUUUAAUCUUCACAUAUCUGGCGGCUGCAGAAAAGUUCAUUUCACAAUAUCUCCUUCCUUGAAGCUGUCCAACCGGUUCCGACAUGUGCUGCAGUGUUGCACCAUAUUGCCAUGGGGGGGGCACAUUUAGAGCAGCGGUUCCUUAUUGGAAGAUCGCAACCUGGAAGUAAAGGAACUUGGGGGUGGGUGAGGGGAGAACACCUUUCAGUUUUCAGGAGAGUUUAUAGCUUGCCAAGCCCAGCUUGCCUGGGAGGCACGAAGGGCACAGUAACAGUGUUGUUUCUAGCUUGGGCAGUAUUAUGGCAACAAACUCCACUUACUCCUUUCCCCAAGGUGAACACUUUUAAGAUUGUCUAUUUAAACUGAUACAAUGGGCUUGCUGUAUUUUUUGUGGUGCACACAGGCUUUUAAAAACGGGAGGAGGGGGGUAACACAUGCACAAGUAAAUUUUUGUGUGGUUGAAUAUAUAAACGAUGCUUAGGUAAAAAGGUAAAGGACCCCCUGGACGGUUAAGUCCAAUCAAAGGUGAUUAUAGGGUUGUGGCGCUCAUCUUGCUUUCAGGCAGAGGGACAGCUUUCACAGACAGCUUUCCAGGUCAUGUGGCCAGCAUGACUAAACCACUUCUGGUAAAAAAGGACCCCUGGGUGGUUAAGUCCAUGGGGUACUGCACUCAUCUCACUUUUCAGUUUGAGGGAGCCGGCCUUUGUCCGCAGACAGCUUUCCAGGUCAUGUGGCCAGCAUGACUAAACUGCUUCUGGCGCAACGGGACAUCGUGACAGAAACCAGAGCGCACAGAAAUGCUGUUUACCUACCCGCCACAGCGGUACCUAUUUAUCUACUUGCACUGGUAUGCUUUCGAACUGCUAGGUUGGCAGGAGCUGGAACAGAGCAACAGGAGCUCACUCUGUCAUGGGGAUUCGAACCACCGACCUUCUGAUCAGCAAGCCCAAGAGGCUCAGUGGAUUAGACCACAGCGCCACCCGCAUCCCCAAAUGAUGCUUAGAUUACACAUUGAUCAGUAUGGAGCUGAUGCAGCAUACUUGUUAAGAGACUUGGACGUUUGAAUUCAUUGAGUGGCCCUCACUCAAGACACUCUCUCGGGCACCCCCCUGUGCUAUGUGGAGGAAAUGCUAAAGUUUUUGAGCAUGCAUAAACGUUGCAUUUCUAGCGAAAUGCUCAAGUGGGAGGUGCCACAGGAAGUGUCUUACAUUGCUGAAGAAUGAACGGUGGGUCUUUGGGUUCUUGUAUACAGAGGCAUGUUGCAGUCCACCUAACAGCUUCUGUUAGCAAUGAUCAGGUUUUACCCCCGUGCAAAUGCUUUGCAUUUUUUCUGUCGGGCUCAUGGCACGCUGUGGCCUAAACCACGGAGUCUCUUGGGCUUGCUGAUCAGAAGGUCAGCCGUUCGAAUCCCCGCAACGGAGUGAGCUCCCAUUACUCUGUCCCAGCUCCUGCCAACCUAGCAGUUCGAAAGCACGCCAGUGAAAGUAGAUAAAUAGGUACCACUGUGGCAGGAAGGUAAACGGCGUUUCUGUGUGCUCUGGUUUCUGUCACAGUGUCCCUUUGCACCAGAAGCGGUUUAGUCAUGCUGGCCACAUGACCUGGAAAGCUGUCUGUGAAAGCUGUCCCUCUGCCUGCAAGCAAGAUGAGCACCACAACCCCAUAGUCGCCUUUGAUUGGACUUAACCGUCCAGGGGUCCUUUACCUUUUUACCUUUAAAAUAUAUUGGAGAAAGCCAGAGGUGCACUUGGGAAUACUGCUGCAGCACAGACAAAAGCUUACUAAGUUUUUAUUUAUAGUGAGUGCUCCAGAUCAUGCCCCAGAAUCUUCUGCCACACAUUUUGGGUGCUUCCAGGAGACAUGUUUAUUGAGCAUUCCUCCUGACUUGUUUGCAAGAAGGCUAGACACCAUUGUCUGAAAGCAAGUGCUAUCUAUCUACAAUUCCCAGUGUAUUCCCCAAUUUCUCUCCUUAUCACAAAAAAAGUUCGAUCUUCUGGGCGAAACGAGUUUGUUGCGCAAGAGCUUGUUGUCCCAACCAACUGUAAUUGCACAAUCUGAAUUUCCUGGUAUAGGUAUGUGAUUGAUUGAAUCCCACCCCAAAAUAGUGUCAGUCUGGAAGCCAUGCUUGGGUGUCAGUGACAAGCUUUCAGGGAUUCCUAAAUAGAUUAGGAAAGGGUAUUUGGAUAGGCUCGGCUUUAAGAACAAUCAGAAUGGAACAUGCAUGAAUUGCCAAGAGGAUUUUCGCUGGAAGCAGAAAGGAAGAAUUGGGAAUUUAAAAAUGGAUUUUCUAAAAUUUGCUGAAUCCAGAUGAUAUAGGUUGCUCAGACAGAAUGAAGAAAAUUGCUUCUCCCACAAUUAUAAUAUUCAUCCCAAUAAUUUUAUCUACAACCUUGCCUUUUGUGAAUACAUGGUUAUUUCCACACUCUCUUUUUAUUAACUUGGAACUGAAUGAUGCCUAAUGUGUGCAUUGCUUGUUAAUGCUCCAGCGUAGCUAUUAAAAUUUGCCGUAGGUUAUGAAAAAGUGCACCCCCUUUUAUAACUAAGGCUCCUGGCUGUCCUGUAAAAGUUUCAAAGUGGGCAAAAUUAGAGUCAUUACAAGAAUGCAAUUAACAGCCAAUGAAAAAGGAAUAGAAAGAGUUUUAAUAGAUUUGGAGGUAGUUUUGCAAAGUUGUGGCUGUCUAUCGUUCAAUUUUAUAGAGCGCUCUUGUGUAUGGAGCUCAUAGCUACCCUGUUUGCUAGAGUUUGAAAAGAUAUACAUAGUGUAUUAGGAUGAAUUGUCAGUCUAGCAUUCUUGGCAAAAUCACUUUAACAACUUCAAAAGCACUACACAAAAGAAAACUUGAAAAUCCUUCACAGAGAUAUUAAACCACCUAAAGUUCCUCUGGACAGAAACAGAAAUAUUAAACUAUGAUUUCAGAAUUGUUGACUUGCUUGUAGUUUCCAUUGCCAAGACCAGAGAUACCACUAUAUGGCAGAAGGGAGGAUAGAUUGCAAGACAUUUAGACAACAAUGGGGAUCUGAGCUUAGGGAAUAUGUUGUAGGAGCUGGCCACAGGAUGGCUCUCCCAUCCCACAUGUAUUUUGUGGUUUUAUAUCUUGAUUUUAUUCGGUGAACUGCCCUGAGACCCCCCCAGGUAUAGGGUGGUAUAUAAAUUCUAAUAAUAAUAAUAAUAAUAAUAAUAAUAAUUGAUGCUCUACGGCUAUGUCAAAUUUCUAAUGCAAGUGCUGGGAGCAACCAAGACGAGCAGACAUGGUUGAGAUUGUGUCACCAGUCUGAAUACAACCUCAUUUAAUUUUGAUACCCCGAUGAGCAGAAAGUGCGACUAGACCCAACCGAUUUAGAAAGUGUAACCUGGAAAGAGCAAAUUCCUUAGACGCCUAAAGGUUACAUGCUAACUGCUCUUUGUCGAACAUUUGUAAUUCUCUCGUACCACAAUGUUGCCUGCCUCAGCAAGUUGUCAUAACUUAACCACAGGAGAAAAGAAAUAUUUCUGUUUUGAAGAUUAACACUUUAGGGGGUAGAGCAUUUGCGCCUGUGUGUUUUGCAAGGAUGCGUGAAAGCUUCAGCUGAACCAGACUUGUCUCCAGAGGAAAGGGAUGCAGAGGUUGUUCCCAGCUCUGCCUGCUAGGUGAAAAUUCUUUUAAAAGUCUUGGUCUGCUGGGGAUUAGCAAGGCCAAGGAUUGCAGAGGUCUGGUGCAUCUCUCUCCUUCUAAAUGGGCCUCUUCUACCCAUUAUGUUAAAAGCGUGGUCACAUUGAAUCUGUCUUAAACAUAUAUGUGUGCAAAUAGCAGCUGCUGGGGGGCACGACUGGGAUGGGUGUGGCAGAAUCAGAAGAAUCUUUAUUUGCACCAGUCCCUAGCCCUAGCAAUAAAAUAAAAUACAAUGUGCUGAAGAUAGAGGUAAAAACUUAAUUAUGCAAAAUGCAUUCCGGAGGUUUAAUCAAUAAUCAAAUAAUAGAUCUUGUUCUGAUUGCCCCUACUAAAAUUUUUGCAGUUUUUGCUGUUGCCUGGUUAUCUUGAUCUGCCAGAAGAAAGGACACUGUAGCAAUGGCUGAGCAACCCGGCAUGGACAGGAG
Non-coding RNA from Podarcis lilfordi (Lilford's wall lizard), 5325 nucleotides. Lineage: Eukaryota; Metazoa; Chordata; Lepidosauria; Squamata; Lacertidae. The record is from the annotation of a GenBank genome assembly.